AUUGCUGGACCCAGACUAAAAGAUUAGUCUGUAAAAGGAAGCAUUCUGGAACUGCUCACAGUGGUUUUAAGGAAUUCACAAAUGCAGACUCUGGAGAAGAGAACCUUAUGAAAGCCAGCUAGUUUCUGUGAAAAUUUCAUGGUUUGAUGAAACUGUGACACUGAAGGAGAGAGCCAGGUCUGCAACAUCAGAAGAAUGUUAAGUUAUGGAUUGGUUAUGCUACGUCUGAGAAGUAAGCAUACAGCACAGUCUCUCUGCACCAUUGCUGGCUCUAUCUUGUGCUAUUUAGGGCCCAGUGCAGCAAAGAACUGAAGCAUAUAUAUAUGCUUCAAAGUAUUUACGCACAAAGUAUUUCCAUUGACUUCAGUGGAAUUACUGCUUACUUGAAGAUGCAUAUUUGCAUCUCUGCUUUGCUGAAUUGGAGCCAUAAUGAGCCCCAUGACUUUCCAUCCUGAACUCACACCAUCAUGGAAAUAAAUACAUGUUUUAAAAAGCAUGCAAGCAAGAGCAAAAGACAUUUUUUAACCUUUUGUGAUUUUCUGUUGGUUUGUGUCACAGCUCACAACCUUGAUGUUCAUUGGGAGCAUCAGCCGUGAGGAUCUGGCAGUAACUUUGAUCUCAUUUAUGUGAGUUUUACAUCGACAUGCCGACUUCAGGGGAGUUAUUA
This is a long non-coding RNA of Chrysemys picta bellii (western painted turtle), 667 nucleotides long. RefSeq lists it as uncharacterized. The record is from RefSeq and is a predicted model, not a curated record. NCBI's taxonomy places the organism in Eukaryota, Metazoa, Chordata, Testudines, Emydidae.